UGCAGCCGAGCGGUAGAGAUUCUUCGGAAUCUUGAGAGCGGCGUACGGGUGCGGAACACGUGUGCAACCUGCCUUUAUCAGGGGGAUAGCCUUUCGAAAGGAAGAUUAAUACCCCAUAAUAUUUAGAAUGGCAUCAUUUUAAAUUGAAAACUCCGGUGGAUAGAGAUGGGCACGCGCAAGAUUAGAUAGUUGGUGAGGUAACGGCUCACCAAGUCUACGAUCUUUAGGGGGCCUGAGAGGGUGAUCCCCCACACUGGUACUGAGACACGGACCAGACUCCUACGGGAGGCAGCAGUGAGGAAUAUUGGACAAUGGGUGCGAGCCUGAUCCAGCCAUCCCGCGUGAAGGACGACGGCCCUAUGGGUUGUAAACUUCUUUUGUAUAGGGAUAAACCUAGAUACGUGUAUCUAGCUGAAGGUACUAUACGAAUAAGCACCGGCUAACUCCGUGCCAGCAGCCGCGGUAAUACGGAGGGUGCAAGCGUUAUCCGGAUUUAUUGGGUUUAAAGGGUCCGUAGGCGGAUCUGUAAGUCAGUGGUGAAAUCUCACAGCUUAACUGUGAAACUGCCAUUGAUACUGCAGGUCUUGAGUGUUGUUGAAGUAGCUGGAAUAAGUAGUGUAGCGGUGAAAUGCAUAGAUAUUACUUAGAACACCAAUUGCGAAGGCAGGUUACUAAGCAACAACUGACGCUGAUGGACGAAAGCGUGGGGAGCGAACAGGAUUAGAUACCCUGGUAGUCCACGCCGUAAACGAUGCUAACUCGUUUUUGGGCUUUCGGGUUCAGAGACUAAGCGAAAGUGAUAAGUUAGCCACCUGGGGAGUACGUUCGCAAGAAUGAAACUCAAAGGAAUUGACGGGGGCCCGCACAAGCGGUGGAUUAUGUGGUUUAAUUCGAUGAUACGCGAGGAACCUUACCAAGGCUUAAAUGGGAAAUGACAGGUUUAGAAAUAGACUUUUCUUCGGACAUUUUUCAAGGUGCUGCAUGGUUGUCGUCAGCUCGUGCCGUGAGGUGUUAGGUUAAGUCCUGCAACGAGCGCAACCCCUGUCACUAGUUGCCAUCAUUAAGUUGGGGACUCUAGUGAGACUGCCUACGCAAGUAGAGAGGAAGGUGGGGAUGACGUCAAAUCAUCACGGCCCUUACGCCUUGGGCCACACACGUAAUACAAUGGCCGGUACAGAGGGCAGCUACACAGCGAUGUGAUGCAAAUCUCGAAAGCCGGUCUCAGUUCGGAUUGGAGUCUGCAACUCGACUCUAUGAAGCUGGAAUCGCUAGUAAUCGCGCAUCAGCCAUGGCGCGGUGAAUACGUUCCCGGGCCUUGUACACACCGCCCGUCAAGCCAUGGAAGUCUGGGGUACCUGAUAGUCGGUGACCGUAAUAGGAGCUGCC
Molecule: ribosomal RNA, 1386 nt
Filed under: Chryseobacterium culicis
Lineage: Bacteria; Pseudomonadati; Bacteroidota; Flavobacteriia; Flavobacteriales; Weeksellaceae
Description: bacterial SSU rRNA
Rfam family: Bacterial small subunit ribosomal RNA
Source: RNAcentral